AUGAACGCUGGCGGCGUGCCUCAUCCCUGCCAGUCGCGCGAACAGACGAGGAGCUUGCUCCUCUGACGUUAGCGGCGGACGGGUGAGUAACACGUGGAUAACCUACCUAUAAGCCUGGGAUAACUUCGGGAAACCGGAGCUAAUACCGGAUAAUAUAUUGAACCGCAUGGUUCAAUAGUGAAAGACGGUUUUGCUGUCACUUAUAGAUGGAUCCGCGCCGCAUUAGCUAGUUGGUAAGGUAACGGCUUACCAAGGCAACGAUGCGUAGCCGACCUGAGAGGGUGAUCGGCCACACUGGAACUGAGACACGGUCCAGACUCCUACGGGAGGCAGCAGUAGGGAAUCUUCCGCAAUGGGCGAAAGCUUGACGGAGCAACGCCGCGGGAGUGAUGAAGGUCUUCGGAUCGUAAAACUCUGUUAUUAGGGAAGAACAAAUGUGUAAGUAACUAUGCACGUCUUGACGGUACCUAAUCAGAAAGCCACGGCUAACUACGUG
This 496-nucleotide ribosomal RNA is filed under the name uncultured bacterium. RNAcentral describes it as "partial 16S ribosomal RNA". It matches the Rfam family "Bacterial small subunit ribosomal RNA", at positions 29 to 507 of the family's 1533-position model. The record is from RNAcentral.